Molecule: long non-coding RNA, 796 nt
Filed under: Podarcis lilfordi (Lilford's wall lizard)
Lineage: Eukaryota; Metazoa; Chordata; Lepidosauria; Squamata; Lacertidae
Source: RNAcentral
CUGGUGUGGAUUUUGAUCUCUUCGAGUAUUCUGGUAUGUUUUAACGUGUUGCAAUCCCCCCCCCCUUUUUUUUGCAAACGGCGCUGCAAGCGGCGUAUAAAUCGCGCAAAAAACAAACGAAUGCAAAAUAGAGAGUCGCGCCUCCCUCCUCUUCCUUCUCUGAGGGGCGAGGAGGAGCUCGCGUGUGGGGCCUCCUCCCGGCCAGGAAGAUGUGCAGAGACACGCCGCUCGGAGACGAACUGCAACCGGCAAGGGCGGGAGGAGGAGAAAAAGAGGUGGGGGGGGGUAAGAGAGAGAGCGCGCGCGAGAGAGAAUGGCUCACUGCAGGCAGGCGGGAUCUGGCUCCGCUGGAAAGGUGCCCUGAACAAAAACCCAGCGCGAGCGGGCAGGUGAUGACAACAUCGCCGCGCUAUUUAUGGCGCGUUGUGACAAUCGCGGCCUUAUAUGGGCAAGGCGAGGGAGACCGGCGGGACGCGCGCUCUCGCCCUUGCUCUGGGAAGAGGGAGGCGCCUCGAGGGAGGGAGGCGCGCGCGCUCCCGAGCCCCGCGCCUGUCCGCUUGAGAGAAAACCCACUGACCUCGUUUCCUUGGGAAAAUCCCUCUCAAAUCCAGCUGCGACGAGAGGCGCCCACCUGACUCACACACUGUGAGUGUGCCGGAUUUACGUAUAAGCUAAACAAGCUAUAGCUUCGGGCACCACUCUCUUGGGGCUCCCCCCCCGAAAAUUAAAGGGGGGGAACCUGGAUGUACAUUUCCAAAAUAUAAGAUAAAAAAACAAAUAAAAUAAAACCUACAUA